GAUGAACGCUGGCGGCGUGCCUAAUACAUGCAAGUCGAGCGAACGGACGCGAAGCUUGCUUUUCUGAUGUUAGCGGCGGACGGGUGAGUAACACGUGUAUAACCUACCUAUAAGACUGGGAUAACUUCGGGCAACCGGUGCUAAUACCGGAUAAUAUUUUGAACCGCAUGGUUCAAAAGUGAAAGACGGUCUUGCUGUCACUUAUAGAUGGAUCCGCGCUGCAUUAGCUAGUUGGUAAGGUAACGGCUUACCCAGGCAACGAUGCAUAGCCGACCGGUGAGGGGGAUCGCCCGCACGGGAGCGUGAACACGGUCCAGAGGCCUGCGGGAGGCAGCAGUAGGGAAUCUUCCGCAAUGGGCGAAAGCCUGACGGAGCAACGCCGCGUGAGUGGUGAAGGUCUUGGGAGCGGAAAGCUCGGUUAUUAGGGAAGAACAUAUGUGUAAGGAACUGUGCAGAUCUUGACGGUACCUAGUCAGGAAGCCACGGCUAACUACGUG
This 497-nucleotide ribosomal RNA is filed under the name uncultured bacterium. RNAcentral describes it as "partial 16S ribosomal RNA". It matches the Rfam family "Bacterial small subunit ribosomal RNA", at positions 28 to 507 of the family's 1533-position model. The record is from RNAcentral.